Oncorhynchus tshawytscha (Chinook salmon) is the source of this 599-nucleotide long non-coding RNA. NCBI's taxonomy places the organism in Eukaryota, Metazoa, Chordata, Actinopteri, Salmoniformes, Salmonidae. The record is from Ensembl.
GAGGACUGGUUAGAGUCAUUACCCUGGGCCUCUGCUAAAUGAGAGGACUGGUUAGAGUCAUUACCCUGGGCCUCGGCUAAAUGAGAGGACUGGUUAGAGUCAUUACCCACCCCUGUCUCCCUGGGCCUCGGCUAAAUGAGAGGACUGGUUAGAGUCAUUACCCACCCCUGUCUCCCUGGGCCUCGGCUAAAUGAGAGGACUGGUUAGAGUCAUUACCCACCCCUGUCUCCCUGGGCCUCAGCUAAAUGAGAGGACUGGUUAGUGUCAUUACCCACCCCUGUCUCCCUGGGCCUCAGCUAAAUGAGAGGACUGGUUAGAGUCAUUACCCACCCCUGUCUCCCUGGGCCCCAGCUAAAUGAGAGGACUGGUUAGAGUCAUUACCCACCCCUGUCUCCCUGGGCCCCAGCUAAAUGAGAGGACUGGUUAGAGUCAUUACCCACCCCUGUCUCCCUGGGCCUCAGCUAAAUGAGAGGACUGGUUAGAGUCAUUACCCACCCCUGUCCCCCUGGGCCUAGGGUAAAUGAGAGGGCUGGUUAGUGUCAUUACCCACCCCUGUCUCCCUGGGCCUAGGGUAAAUGAGAGGGCUGGUUAGUGUCAUU